GACGAACGCUGGCGGCGUGCUUAACACAUGCAAGUCGAACGGAGUGGCGAACGGGUGCGUAACACGUGGGUGACCUGCCCGGCCCUUCGGGAUAAGCCUGGGAAACUGGGUCUAAUACCGGAUAGUGUGGGAUGGGCCCGGGGCCUAUCAGCUUGUGGGGGGGGUAAUGGCCUACAAAGGCGGCGACGGAUAGCCGGCCGGAGAGGGUGGACGGGCACAUAGUGACUGAGACACGGCCCAGACUGCUACGGGAGGCAGCAGUGGGGAAUAUUGCACAAUGGGCGGAAGCCUGAUGCAGCGUCGCCGUGUUGGGGAUGACGGCCUUCGGGUUGUAAACGCCUUUCACCAUCGACGCGGUAGCUGGAUAAGAAGCCCCGGCUAACUACGUGCCAGCAGCCGCGGUAAUAC
RNAcentral lists this ribosomal RNA (408 nucleotides) under uncultured bacterium. RNAcentral's name for it is "partial 16S ribosomal RNA". It matches the Rfam family "Bacterial small subunit ribosomal RNA", at positions 28 to 526 of the family's 1533-position model. The record is from RNAcentral.